RNAcentral lists this ribosomal RNA (468 nucleotides) under uncultured bacterium. RNAcentral's name for it is "partial 16S ribosomal RNA". It matches the Rfam family "Bacterial small subunit ribosomal RNA", at positions 28 to 507 of the family's 1533-position model. The record is from RNAcentral.
GACGAACGCUGGCGGCGUGCUUAACACAUGCAAGUCGAACGGAAAGGCCCUGCUUUUGUGGGGUGCUCGAGUGGCGAACGGGUGAGUAACACGUGAGUAACCUGCCCUUGACUUUGGGAUAACUUCAGGAAACUGGGGCUAAUACCGGAUAGGAGCUCCUGCUGCAUGGUGGGGGUUGGAAAGUUUCGGCGGUUGGGGAUGGACUCGCGGCUUAUCAGCUUGUUGGUGGGGUAGUGGCUUACCAAGGCUUUGACGGGUAGCCGGCCUGAGAGGGUGACCGGCCACAUUGGGACUGAGAUACGGCCCAGACUCAUACGGGAGGCAGCAGUGGGGAAUAUUGCACAAUGGGCGGAAGCCUGAUGCAGCAACGCCGCGUGCGGGAUGACGGCCUUCGGGUUGUAACCCGCUUUCGCCUGUGACGAAGCGUGAGUGACGGUAAUGGGUAAAGAAGCACCGGCUAACUACGUG